UUUCCGUAGGUGAACCUGCGGAAGGAUCAUUCAUAAUAAGUGUUUUAUGGUACUUUUUUAAAUCCAUAUCCACCUUGUAUGCAAUGUCAGGGUUGAUUUUUCUCUCGAGAGGAUCAACCCCAAACAUCAACUAUAUCUCAACUCUUUGUCUGAAAAAUAUUAUGAAUAAAACAAUUCAAAAUACAACUUUCAACAACGGAUCUCUUGGCUCUC
RNAcentral lists this unclassified non-coding RNA (213 nucleotides) under plant metagenome. RNAcentral describes it as "partial contains small subunit ribosomal RNA, internal transcribed spacer 1, and 5.8S ribosomal RNA". The record is from RNAcentral.